RNAcentral lists this ribosomal RNA (495 nucleotides) under uncultured bacterium. Its description in RNAcentral is "partial 16S ribosomal RNA". It matches the Rfam family "Bacterial small subunit ribosomal RNA", at positions 28 to 507 of the family's 1533-position model. The record is from RNAcentral.
GACGAACGCUGGCGGCGUGCCUAAUACAUGCAAGUAGAACGCUGAAGGAGGAGCUUGCUUCUCUGGAUGAGUUGCGAACGGGUGAGUAACGCGUAGGUAACCUGCCUGGUAGCGGGGGAUAACUAUUGGAAACGAUAGCUAAUACCGCAUAAGAGUAGAUGUUGCAUGACAUUUGCUUAAAAGGUGCAAUUGCAUCACUACCAGAUGGACCUGCGUUGUAUUAGCUAGUUGGUGGGGUAACGGCUUACCAAGGCGACGAUACAUAGCCGACCUGAGAGGGUGCUCGGCCACACUGGGACUGAGACACGGCCCAGACUCCUACGGGAGGCAGCAGUAGGGAAUCUUCGGCAAUGGACGGAAGUCUGACCGAGCAACGCCGCGUGAGUGAAGAAGGUUUUCGGAUCGUAAAGCUCUGUUGUAAGAGAAGAACGAGUGUGAGAGUGGAAAGUUCACACUGUGACGGUAUCUUACCAGAAAGGGACGGCUAACUACGUG